UAAUACGUAGACCUCAAGCGUUAUCCGGAUUUAUUGGGCGUAAAGGGUGUGUAGGCGGUUUAAAUAGUCAGAUGUUAAAUCAUUGGGCUCAACCCAGUGACUGCACUUGAAACGUUUAAACUAGAAAUAUGCAGAGGUUAGCGGAACUCAUGGUGUAGCAGUGAAAUGCGUUGAUAUCAUGGGGAACACCAAAGGCGAAGGCAGCUAACUGGGCAUUUUUUGACGCUGAGACACGAAAGCGUGGGUAGCGAACGGGAUUAGAUACCCCGGUAGUCCAUGCCGUAAACGAUGUACACUAGAUAUUGGGAGUUUCGACCCUCUCAGUGUCUAAGCUAACGCGAUAAGUGUACCGCCUGGGAAGUACGAGCGCAAGCUUA
This 377-nucleotide ribosomal RNA is filed under the name uncultured Parcubacteria group bacterium. RNAcentral describes it as "bacterial SSU rRNA". It matches the Rfam family "Bacterial small subunit ribosomal RNA", at positions 521 to 896 of the family's 1533-position model. The record is from RNAcentral.